RNAcentral lists this ribosomal RNA (301 nucleotides) under uncultured bacterium. RNAcentral describes it as "partial 16S ribosomal RNA". It matches the Rfam family "Bacterial small subunit ribosomal RNA", at positions 509 to 807 of the family's 1533-position model. The record is from RNAcentral.
CAGUAGCCGCGGUAAUACGUAGGGCGCGAGCGUUGUCCGGAGUUACUGGGCGUAAAGGGCUUGUAGGCGGCCGGUCGCGUCCGCCGUGAAAUCCCCUGGCUCAACCGGGGGCGUGCGGUGGGUACGGGCCGGCUUGAGUGCGGUAGGGGAGGCUGGAACUCCUGGUGUAGCGGUGGAAUGCGCAGAUAUCAGGAAGAACACCGGUGGCGAAGGCGGGUCUCUGGGCCGUUACUGACGCUGAGGAGCGAGAGCGUGGGGAGCGAACAGGAUUAGAUACCCCUGUAGUCCCUGUCUCUUAUAC